This 253-nucleotide ribosomal RNA is filed under the name uncultured bacterium. Its description in RNAcentral is "partial 16S ribosomal RNA". It matches the Rfam family "Bacterial small subunit ribosomal RNA", at positions 524 to 776 of the family's 1533-position model. The record is from RNAcentral.
UACGUAGGGUCCGAGCGUUGUCCGGAAUUAUUGGGCGUAAAGGGCUCGUAGGCGGUUCGUCACGUCGGGAGUGAAAACUCGGGGCUUAACCCCGAGCCUGCUUCCGAUACGGGCAGACUAGAGGUAGGCAGGGGAGAGCGGAACUCCUGGUGUAGCGGUGGAAUGCGCAGAUAUCAGGAAGAACACCGGCGGCGAAGGCGGCUCUCUGGGCCUUACCUGACGCUGAGGAGCGAAAGCGUGGGUAGCGAACAGG